RNAcentral lists this long non-coding RNA (649 nucleotides) under Ananas comosus (pineapple). RNAcentral's name for it is "long non-coding RNA (ACOM_LNC036268)". The record is from RNAcentral. Lineage: Eukaryota; Viridiplantae; Streptophyta; Magnoliopsida; Poales; Bromeliaceae.
UCGGGGACCGGUCCCUGGAGGGAGAGACCGGUCCCCCAGUGAGCAGUGUCGCGGCAGCCUGAGGCAACCGGUCCCUGGCAGGCGAGACCGGUUCCCGAACGCGUCUUCGCAGUGAGAGACCGGUCCCGCGCAGGGAGAGACCGGUUCCCGAACGAUGGUUUUUCGGAUUCGCAGCGAGAGACCGGUCCCUGCUGGGGAGAGACCGGUCCCUCUGGGCGAAAACUGCCCAGACCGGGCUGAUGCAAUAUUGGAUUUUUGGAGGGCCUAGCUGGAUUUUGUUACAAUAGAGGGUCUAUAUGACCCCUCCACCCUCUCUACUCCUCAUUUCUCUUCUCUCAACUCUCUCCACACCUUUGAUAGAGAAGAAGAAGAAGAAGGAGAAGGAGAAGAAGGAAGGAGGAAGAAGAAGCUUGGAGCUACUAGUGGACUUGGGGCAUCUCCCUCACCUUCUCAUCCUCCUUGGUGCUUGAAGGCUUGGACUUGGAGCUUGCAAAGAAGGAGAUCUUCACCCUUGGAGCUUGGAUUGGAGCUUCUAAGGAGGUUUGUUGCUCAUUCCCUCCCUCUAGACCUUGAUUUGAGGAUUUUUAGUAGAUGGAACCCUAGUUUUGAGACUUAGGGUUAUUUUUGGGCUUUUUGAAGCUAGGGCUUU